AUGAGCAGUGCUUGACCAGAAGUUCAGAACCUUGACAUAGAGAUACAAAAAGCCAAGAAACUUCAGUUUGUAGUAAAGACAUAGAAGAGAGAACUCCAGUUGACUGUCAAGAUAUUUCUUGUAUUGAUUGCAACCAAGUGUACUUGUUUAUAGCCUCCAAUUGUAUUUUAUCUCGGAUUUUGGACCGUGGGAUGACAGAUUAAUAAAGUUCCACACAAGCCACACCAAAGUCCGUGGAUAUAUUUCUGUUGGAGUGAGAGUAGUUAACCGAAACUCCGUCCGUUUAUCGAGGAUAAAGGGCGGCAGCCACAGUGCAGAUUUUCCAUCGGGGCAGUUGUGGCUGGAGCAAGUAUCACUGAACCCAUUAUAGGCAAGACCUACGUCAAACCAGUCAUCAUUAUCACUUGUGUUCUCCUUUUUCAUUUAGUUUCAUUUAAUGAUUUCUGCAACUUUUCCAUCAACAAGCUAAGCAAAGAAAAAAACAAUAAACAGAGUAUGUAUCAAAAUAUGUGAUAAAUGAAAUAACGAAGAAAGUUGGAUUUUCUAUGACAUAGCAAUUAAACAAGGUUGCAGGGGUUGCCAUUACAAGCUUUAAUAGCUUGACUAUAUGCCAACACUUGGAAGCAUUUAGAAUAUAUGUAUCAUAUCAACUCGUAUUACACGGUUAAUUUAAAACUAUAUGUCCUAUAUUGACAUGAUUGAUGCAUUUUUAGUGAUUGCAAUAUACAAGGAAAAUAUAUACCAGCAAAAUAAAGGGUAUUAUAAACUGUAAUUUAGUACCAUAAGUAUCAUUUCAAUCAUUUCCUUCUUGCAUUCGGCCAGUAAUAUAGGGAUUGAUAUUACUUUGUUCAUAGAACCGGCAAUACAUACCGGAUACCAGAUUUUAGCUCCUCGAGAGCAAGAGCACACUUUGUUUUUCAGAUAAGCAGUAAUCGCGUUUGGAAAAAAAAAAAAUCCUGUUUAAAUACUCUGCAGGGAGUGUGGAAAGUGCAUAUAUUUUGUGUGGACAAGCCAGGAUCCAGCGAAGGGGUAAUUGUAGAGCACUCAGUGACGUCGCUCCGGUGUACUACGCACUAUAUAAGUAGUGGAAUAUCGUUAAGAUUCCAAUUAGAAGAUGGUGACUGUCAUUAAUACUACCACAUUUACACCCAUUAUGCAUAAUAGUAAUUAUUCGUGGAUAAUUCCUCUCAAUGAGACAGCCUGCGGCCCCGAGUAUGGUUGGUGGACAGAUAGCACGGGAUAUGUAACCAAAGUACUCAACCAUGUCUACGGGAUCACAUCGAUCGUCGGCAUCAUCGUCACGACUUUCCUGCUACUCACUAUCGCCUGCCGUUGUCGAUUUUGGAAGAAACGCUAAAUCUUCGCCUUUAACAUCAUUCUCGCUGACUUAGUGCUCGAUGCCAUAGUCCUGGCCCAGUAUGUGAGACAAAUGCUGAGAGACGUUCCAUCACCUUAUUGGUCAGCGUGGAUGACAGGGGCGUCGAUCCAUUUUUCAGAUUGGGGGGGG
Long non-coding RNA from Lytechinus pictus (painted urchin), 1507 nucleotides. RefSeq lists it as uncharacterized. The transcript is spliced from 3 exons. NCBI's taxonomy places the organism in Eukaryota, Metazoa, Echinodermata, Echinoidea, Temnopleuroida, Toxopneustidae. The record is from RefSeq and is a predicted model, not a curated record.